CGAUGAAUACGUCCAUCGCAUCGGAAGAACUGGACGCUGCGGGAACAUCGGUCAGGCCGUGUCCUUUUUUAUCCCAGAGUCUGACACUCCAUUAGCUCACUCUCUGGUCAAAGUUCUGUCAGGGGCCCAACAGGAGGUUCCCAAAUGGCUGGAGGAAAUUGCUUUCAGUGCUCGUGGGACAACAGGCUUCAACCCUCGUGGAAAAGUGUUUGCGUCUACAGACACUCGGAAGGGGGGAACCUUCAAGACGGAUGAGCCAGCACAAGCAUCUGCCCCAAGCCCAGCAGCGGCUGCAGAUGACGAGGAAUGGGAAUAACUACUUACACCUUAUGUUCUAUUAUGUAGAUUUAUUUUUUAAAUGUUAUUUUAUUAAUUUCUCCACAUUGUUAAAAUCUUGAAUGAUUAAGCGAAAGAAAAAAAGUCACAUUCUGAAAACUGAAGGUUUGAUCUGUAGGACAGAGUAUUA
Long non-coding RNA from Sinocyclocheilus grahami, 466 nucleotides. RefSeq lists it as uncharacterized. The record is from RefSeq and is a predicted model, not a curated record. Lineage: Eukaryota; Metazoa; Chordata; Actinopteri; Cypriniformes; Cyprinidae. The transcript is spliced from 3 exons.